RNAcentral lists this ribosomal RNA (492 nucleotides) under uncultured bacterium. RNAcentral describes it as "partial 16S ribosomal RNA". It matches the Rfam family "Bacterial small subunit ribosomal RNA", at positions 29 to 507 of the family's 1533-position model. The record is from RNAcentral.
AGUGAACGCUGGCGGUAGGCCUAACACAUGCAAGUCGAACGGCAGCACAGUAAGAGCUUGCUCUUACGGGUGGCGAGUGGCGGACGGGUGAGGAAUACAUCGGAAUCUACUUUUUCGUGGGGGAUAACGUAGGGAAACUUACGCUAAUACCGCAUACGACCUACGGGUGAAAGCAGGGGAUCUUCGGACCUUGCGCGAUUGAAUGAGCCGAUGUCGGAUUAGCUAGUUGGCGGGGUAAAGGCCCACCAAGGCGACGAUGCGUAGCUGGUCUGAGAGGAUGAUCAGCCACACGGGAAGUGAGACACGGUCCAGACUCCUACGGGAGGCAGCAGUGGGGAAUAUUGGACAAUGGGCGCAAGCCUGAUCCAGCCAUACCGCGUGGGUGAAGAAGGCCUUCGGGUUGGAAAGCCCUUUUGUUGGGAAAGAAAAGCAGCAGGUUAAUACCCCGCUGUUCUGACGGUACCCAAAGAAUAAGCACCGGCUAACUUCGUG